GGGACCGACAGCAAUAUGAAGGCCAGGCUGAAGACUUUGCCGGAUUAGCUGAGAGGUGGUGCAUGGCCGUCGUCAGUUCGUACUGUGAAGCAUCCUGUUAAGUCAGGCAACGAGCGAGACCCACGCCCACAGUUGCCAGCGUACUCUCUGGAGUGACGGGUACACUGUGGGACCGCCGCUGCUAAAGCGGAGGAAGGAAUGGGCAACGGUAGGUCAGUAUGCCCCGAAUAUCCCGGGCUACACGCGAGCUACAAUGGUUGGUACAAUGGGUAUCUACCCCGAAAGGGGACGGGAAUCUCCUAAAACCAAUCUUAGUUCGGAUUGAGGGCUGCAACUCGCCCUCAUGAAGCUGGAAUCCGUAGUAAUCGCGUUUCAACAGAACGCGGUGAAUACGUCCCUGCUCCUU
RNAcentral lists this ribosomal RNA (406 nucleotides) under uncultured Methanosaeta sp. RNAcentral's name for it is "bacterial SSU rRNA". It matches the Rfam family "Archaeal small subunit ribosomal RNA", at positions 932 to 1338 of the family's 1478-position model. The record is from RNAcentral. Lineage: Archaea; Methanobacteriati; Methanobacteriota; Methanomicrobia; Methanotrichales; Methanotrichaceae.